CGCGCGACGGACUUGAGGACGCCAUACACAUUUGAACAAUCGGCGCCCUUGGAAGCCAACAAAAGGCGGGCGACGUUGAGGGGCGCGCCGGCUCCAAGAUGCCCCAGGACGGUACCGCGGCGGACAGCCAGAGCCAAGAGCGCGCGGUCGACAGGGAAGCCGGUCGCAAUAUUCCAUGCCACCAGAUCCUUGCCGCGGCCGAUGCAGGUCGCAAUAUGCGCCAGCACCUCUGCGGGCAUGCAGACGAGGGGUGGCUCUGCCGAGUAUGUAUUCAUGGCCGUCGUGAAACGGAAAACAAAGAAAGUGUCGCUCUGGGAGUUGUCCAGCGGAGCGUCGACCAAAAGCA
RNAcentral lists this long non-coding RNA (346 nucleotides) under Pandoravirus salinus. RNAcentral's name for it is "putative ncRNA". The record is from RNAcentral.